Molecule: ribosomal RNA, 440 nt
Filed under: uncultured bacterium
Lineage: Bacteria
Description: partial 16S ribosomal RNA
Rfam family: Bacterial small subunit ribosomal RNA
Source: RNAcentral
CCUACGGGAGGCAGCAGUGGGGAAUAUUGCACAAUGGGGGAAACCCUGAUGCAGCGACGCCGCGUGAGCGAUGAAGUAUUUCGGUAUGUAAAGCUCUAUCAGCAGGGAAGAAAAUAACGGUACCUGACUAAGAAGCCCCGGCUAACUACGUGCCAGCAGCCGCGGUAAUACGUAGGGGGCAAGCGUUAUCCGGAUUUACUGGGUGAAAAGGGAGCGUAGACGGUCCUGCAAGCCAGAUGUGAAAGCCCGGGGCCCAACCCCGGGACUGCAUUUGGAACUGUAAGGCUAGAGGGUCGGAGAGGCAGGCGGAAUUCCUAGUGUAGCGGUGAAAUGCGUAGAUAUUAGGAGGAACACCAGUGGCGAAGGCGGCCUGCUGGACGAUGACUGACGUUGAGGCUCGAAAGCGUGGGGAGCAAACAGGAUUAGAUACCCGUGUAGUC